RNAcentral lists this ribosomal RNA (731 nucleotides) under uncultured bacterium. RNAcentral's name for it is "bacterial SSU rRNA". It matches the Rfam family "Bacterial small subunit ribosomal RNA", at positions 771 to 1501 of the family's 1533-position model. The record is from RNAcentral.
AACAGGAUUAGAUACCCUGGUAGUCCACGCCGUAAACGAUGAGUGCUAGGUGUUGGAGGGUUUCCGCCCUUCAGUGCCGCAGUUAACGCAUUAAGCACUCCGCCUGGGGAGUACGACCGCAAGGUUGAAACUCAAAGGAAUUGACGGGGUCCCGCACAAGCGGUGGAGCAUGUGGUUUAAUUCGAAGCAACGCGAAGAACCUUACCAAGUCUUGACAUCCUUUGACCACCCUAGAGAUAGGGCUUUCCCUUCGGGGACAAAGUGACAGGUGGUGCAUGGUUGUCGUCAGCUCGUGUCGUGAGAUGUUGGGUUAAGUCCCGCAACGAGCGCAACCCCUAUUAUUAGUUGCCAGCAUUUAAUUGGGCACUCUAAUGAGACUGCCGGUGACAAACCGGAGGAAGGUGGGGAUGACGUCAAAUCAGCAUGCCCCUUAUGACUUGGGCUACACACGUGCUACAAUGGAUGGUACAACGAGUCGCAAACCCGCGAGGGCAAGCAAAUCUCUUAAAGCCAUUCUCAGUUCGGAUUGCAGGCUGCAACUCGCCUGCAUGAAGCCGGAAUCGCUAGUAAUCGUGGAUCAGCGCGCCACGGUGAAUACGUUCUCGGGUCUUGUACACACCGCCCGUCACACCACGAGAGUUUGUAACACCCGAAGUCGGUGAGGUAACCUUUAUGGAGCCAGCCGCCGAAGGUGGGACAGAUGAUUGGGGUGAAGUCGUAACAAGGUAACC